UAACAGGAUUCCCUUAGUAACUGCGAGUGAAGAGGGAAGAGCUCAAAUUUGUAAUCUGACGGUCUUCGGCCGUCCGAGUUGUAAUCUGUAGAGGCAUCGUCCGCGUCGGCCCGUGUACAAGUCUCCUGGAACGGAGCGUCAUAGAGGGUGAGAAUCCCGUCCGUGGCACGGGGACCCCCGAUGCUUUGUGAGGUGCCCUCGAAGAGUCGCGUUGUUUGGGAAUGCAGCGCAAAAUGGGUGGUAAAUUCCAUCUAAGGCUAAAUAUUGGCGAGAGACCGAUAGCGAACAAGUACCGUGAGGGAAAGAUGAAAAGCACUUUGAAAAGAGAGUUAAACAGUACGUGAAAUUGUUGAAAGGGAAACGCUUGAAGUCAGUCGCGUCUCGCGGCACUCAGCCUCGCUUCGGCUUGGUGUACUUGCCGUGCGGACGGGUCAACAUCAAUUUCGGCUGGCAGACAAGGGUGAGGGGAAUGUAGCGUUGUUUCGACAACGUGUUAUAGCCCCUUGUCGGAUGUGCCGGUUGGGGAUUGAGGAACCGCAGCACGCCCUUGUGGUCGGGGGGUUCGCCUCACGUAACGUGCUUAGGAUGUUGGCAUAAUGGCUUUAAGCGACCCGUCUUGAAACACGGACCAAGGAGUCUAACAUGCCUGCGAGUGUUCGGGUGGAAAACCCUUGCGCGUAAUGAAAGUGAAAGUUGGGAGCCUCCGUAAGGGGGUGCACCGACGCCCGGCCCUGACGUUCUCUGACGGUGCUGCGGUAGAGCAAGCAUGUUGGGACCCGAAAGAUGGUGAACUAUGCCUGAAUAGGGCGAAGCCAGAGGAAACUCUGGUGGAGGCUCGUAGCGAUUCUGACGUGCAAAUCGAUCGUCAAAUUUGGG
Molecule: ribosomal RNA, 876 nt
Filed under: Coltricia stuckertiana
Lineage: Eukaryota; Fungi; Basidiomycota; Agaricomycetes; Hymenochaetales; Hymenochaetaceae
Description: eukaryotic LSU rRNA
Rfam family: Eukaryotic large subunit ribosomal RNA
Source: RNAcentral